UAAGACGUAGGAGGCAAGCGUUAUCCGGAGUUACUGGGCGUAAAGCGCGUGUAGGCGGAUUGGUAAGUGGUUCGUGAAAUAUCCGGGCUAAACUCGGAGGGGACGAAUCAGACUGCUAGUCUGGAGGCGGGUAGAGGGGUGCGGAAUUCCGGGUGUAGCGGUGAAAUGUGUAGAUAUCCGGAGGAACACCAGAGGUGCAGACGGCGCCCUGGGCCCGACCUGACGCUGAGACGCGAAAGCUUGGGGAGCGAACGGGAUUAGAGACCCCGGUAGUCCAAGCCGUAAACGAUGUCAACUAGGUGUCCACUUGCCUACGGGUAAGGGGGCGCCGAAGCUAACGCGAUAAGUUGACCGCCUGGGGAGUACGGUCGCAAGAUUA
This 379-nucleotide ribosomal RNA is filed under the name uncultured bacterium. Its description in RNAcentral is "bacterial SSU rRNA". It matches the Rfam family "Bacterial small subunit ribosomal RNA", at positions 521 to 896 of the family's 1533-position model. The record is from RNAcentral.